UGACCUCGGAUCAGGUAGGGAUACCCGCUGAACUUAAGCAUAUCAUGGGGGAA
This 53-nucleotide ribosomal RNA is filed under the name uncultured Tuber. RNAcentral describes it as "partial 28S ribosomal RNA". Lineage: Eukaryota; Fungi; Ascomycota; Pezizomycetes; Pezizales; Tuberaceae. The record is from RNAcentral.